Molecule: ribosomal RNA, 274 nt
Filed under: uncultured bacterium
Lineage: Bacteria
Description: partial 16S ribosomal RNA
Rfam family: Bacterial small subunit ribosomal RNA
Source: RNAcentral
AUACGGAGGGUGCGAGCGUUAGUCGGAAUUACUGGGCGUAAAGCGUGCGUAGGCGGUUUGCUAAGUCAGAUGUGAAAGCCCCGGGCUUAACCUGGGAACUGCAUUUGAUACUGGCAGACUAGAGUAUGAUAGAGGGGGGUAGAAUUCCUGGUGUAGCGGUGAAAUGCGUAGAUAUCAGGAGGAAUACCAGUGGCGAAGGCGGCCCCCUGGAUCAAUACUGACGCUGAGGUACGAAAGCGUGGGGAGCGAACAGGAUUAGAUACCCUAGUAGUCC